CCCAACCUUCACUGUAAUAUUGCCUGUUCUGUUCUUGUUUCAGAGCCCCUACUGGAGGAAAACAUGGAACAAAUCCCUGCUCUUUUGCCCUUUCUGGAGACUAAUAUUGAAAAGGUUCCUGCUAUGGAGGAUCUGAAUGAUGAGGGAAACACCUUUGAACAGAACCCACCUCUUGGCAA
This is a long non-coding RNA of Coregonus clupeaformis (lake whitefish), 179 nucleotides long. RefSeq lists it as uncharacterized. The transcript is spliced from 3 exons. The record is from RefSeq and is a predicted model, not a curated record. NCBI's taxonomy places the organism in Eukaryota, Metazoa, Chordata, Actinopteri, Salmoniformes, Salmonidae.